AUUGAAGCGAUCACAGAACUCGUGAUCACGCCCACUAUUUAAUCAAUGAUCAUUGAUCCGUCUCUUCCUUUUCAUGGCGGCAUGCACGUGGAGAGAAUUUCUGAUAAAUAUUUCGCGUCUAUCUCUAUAAAAGGAAAUUACAACAUAAAAAUCUGAUUCAUCUGAUGGUCCCAAUGGCUAAGUUUACAUCAUUUCUUAUGAUUGAAUGUGGGCCCAUCAUGGAGAUCAAUUUAACGCGUCGUCCUAAGCGAUGAAUAAUUGCGUUUUACACCACACUGGCUUAGUACUCAAGGAUAAUACUGCUUAGUAAUAAGGCUGAGCAUGAAGAAACGUAAUAACUCACUGAAGAGACAGAACUCUACUUCUUACAAAGAUAAGACUGUAGCCCUGAGAUGUGAGUACCAUCCUUAUCAAAUUUUCUAAUUUAAUUUUUAAAAUCCUUCAAAAUGAUGAUCUUGCGGCUCCCUCUACUGAGGUUACCCAUUAUAAAUAAUGCUGAAUACCGCCAACUGAUUGGAAAAAUCAUGAAAAUGUUUGAAAAUAGUAUUUGAACAAAGAAGUAUUGUGAUUUUUUUUUUGCAGAUAUAUGAAUGAGCCAAUGUCCCCAAGUGUUGAAAGAAGCAUCGUCAAUUUUUUUAAAAUUGUAAACGAUAUAUUUUUGUCUUGAAAUAAAGAACUUGAAAACAA
Molecule: long non-coding RNA, 687 nt
Organism: Coccinella septempunctata (seven-spotted ladybird)
Lineage: Eukaryota; Metazoa; Arthropoda; Insecta; Coleoptera; Coccinellidae
Exons: 3
Source: RefSeq, a predicted model, not a curated record